This 1859-nucleotide long non-coding RNA is filed under the name Homo sapiens (human). RNAcentral describes it as "HSALNT0366527". Lineage: Eukaryota; Metazoa; Chordata; Mammalia; Primates; Hominidae. The record is from RNAcentral.
CCAGGAUGAGCGCCAUGAGGGCGAGGCCUGGGGUAGGGCCAGGAUAAGCCUCACUGGGGCAGGUCCUGGGUAGAGACCAGGUUGGCGGGUCUUGGGGCGGGGCCAGGAUAGGGCGAUCCUGGAAGCUGGGCUUCGGAAGCGUCCAGGUUGGUGGCGUCCUGGAGGCAGUGCCUUGCGUGGGGGCAGGAUAAGAGUCCUGGAGGCGGGCAUUAGGGCGGGGAUAAACGCCAUUGGGUUCAGGAGGCGGGACUCAGAGCAGAGCCCAGGAGACAGGUCUUAGGGCGGGGCUAAGGCCAGACCCAGAGAAGGGCUCAGGAGGCGGGGCAGGGGCGGGGCGUUGACUAUGUCUUGGCACAUGGCCAGGCGGUGCGCGGACUCUGGGAGGCGGAGCUUAGGACGGGCCCACGUGGGGAGGGGCCCAGGGUCCGGGAGGCGGUGCCGAGUCCCGGCUGGGCUGCGCUCAGGAGGCGGGCCCUGGGAGGCGGAGCUUAGGGAGGGGCCGGUGGCGGGAGGGACCCAGGGACUGGGAGGCUGGUCGGGGCUGGGCUCAGGGUCCGAGACCUAGCUGGGCUUGGGGCGGGGCCGAGACGGAGCGAGGGGUCCAGGGUGUGGGAAACGGGGAGGGGUUUGAGGAGAGGAUCGGAAUGUGGCUCAAGUUCGGGAGGCGUUACCUGCGGAGGGUUUGAGGCAGGCCCAGGAGCGAGCCCACGGUCUGCCUACGCGGGGCCAGGGGCGGGCCCCAGGAUCCGGAGCUUCGGGCGGGGCGGAGUCCGAGUUUGGGGCCCGGGAGGCGGGGCCAGUUAGGGUGAGGGUCCCUGGGAUCGACGGGUCAGGUCUUGGGCUAACGUAGGCACUCUCGCAGUUCCUCCGCCUUCAGGAAGGUCUUUUUAGCAGAGGCCUUACGGGUGCGCGCUUCGGUCCUGGAGGCCUUAUCCUAACCUCCUCUCCAUCAGCGCCACCCGUCUGGGGCCCGAAACGAGGGAGCUUUCCCUCUGUCCCCCAGCCUUUGGACUGUCACCAAACAAGCCAUUCGUUCAUCAAAAAUACUUAUUAAGCGCCUACCAUGUGCCUGACAAGGGAGAUGUAACGGUGAGAAAAAGUAGGUGUGGUCCAGGCCCUCCAGGGGCUCAGGGGCUCGUGGAAGAAGUGGACAUUGAAAUACUUAUCACACAAAUGAGGAUAAAAGUACGAUAGCGAUAUCUGCCACGAAGGUGAGCAGACAGAGCUAGCGGGGCUUGCAGGAGGAGUUUUGAUCUUGCAGGGACAGGAAGGAGGAGUUAGCUCCUGCGGGGUGGGAUUGGGGGUGGUGGUGAUAUAGACGUGGGGACAGAGUGGAAAACAACAAAAAUAUAAUUAUUUUAGUUCAAAGUUAUUGUGUCUUGAGUUGAAAGGCAGGGCAGUUAGCAACACAGUUCAGAUUUCAGUACUGCCCCUGAAAUCUGAACUGUGUUCAAAGUCUAAAACGUUUACCUUAGCAAAUUCCUCAUAAAACUCCAUUUGGAAGAGUCCCGAGAGCGAAUUUGUUAAGUACACUUGCAAAAGGUAGAUGAGGAGACAGAUAAAAUCUUAUUACCUCUUUCAGAUGAGAGCCACUUGAGCCCUGCUCAGCUAUGAGAAUAAGAGAGGGGAAUUAAUUCUAAUUGAAUACACUUGUUCUCUUAUAGCUGUUGUUCCACACCAGAACCAAAUGAGCGCAAGAUCUGACAAAGAAAAAAAAAGAUAGGGUCUCUCUCUCUGCCACCCAGGCCAGAGUGCAGUUGACGCAGGGCAGGGGAGCCCCGAAGUGGAGCAUAGCGUGUCCGGAACUGGUGGGUUCUUGGUCUCACUGACUUCAAGAAUGAAGCCGCGGACCCUCGCGG